AUUGAACGCUGGCGGCAUGCUUUACACAUGCAAGUCGAACGGUAACAGGUUAAGCUGACGAGUGGCGAACGGGUGAGUAAUGCAUCGGAACGUGCCCGAUCGUGGGGGAUAACGCAGCGAAAGCUGCGCUAAUACCGCAUACGAUCUGAGGAUGAAAGCGGGGGACCGUAAGGCCUCGCGCGAUCGGAGCGGCCGAUGUCAGAUUAGGUAGUUGGUGGGGUAAAGGCUCACCAAGCCAACGAUCUGUAGCUGGUCUGAGAGGACGACCAGCCACACUGGGACUGAGACACGGCCCAGACUCGUACGGGAGGCAGCAGUGGGGAAUUUUGGACAAUGGGCGAAAGCCUGAUCCAGCAAUGCCGCGUGCAGGAAGAAGGCCUUCGGGUUGUAAACUGCUUUUGUACGGAGCGAAAAGGCUCUCUCUAAUACAGGGGGCUCAUGACGGUACCGUAAGAAUAAGCACCGGCUAACUACGUGCCAGCCGCCGCCGCAG
RNAcentral lists this ribosomal RNA (493 nucleotides) under uncultured bacterium. RNAcentral describes it as "partial 16S ribosomal RNA". It matches the Rfam family "Bacterial small subunit ribosomal RNA", at positions 29 to 523 of the family's 1533-position model. The record is from RNAcentral.